Molecule: long non-coding RNA, 834 nt
Filed under: Pan troglodytes (chimpanzee)
Lineage: Eukaryota; Metazoa; Chordata; Mammalia; Primates; Hominidae
Description: long non-coding RNA NONPTRT013665
Source: RNAcentral
GCGCGGAGGCCGUCGGACUCUGACUGCGCGGAGACCGCUGGACUCUGGUCGCGGCCUUAGUCCGCUGAUCCUCGCUUGGGUGCCCGCCCUUAGCGGCCCGGCGUUGAAUUCCGGGAAGUGGGAGCUUCAGGCUCGCUCCGUGCGGAGGCGGGGUUUUGUCAUGUUGCUAGGUUGGUGUUGAACUCCUGAGCUCGAGCGAUCCACCUGCCACUGCCUUCCAAAGUGCUGGAAUUACAGGCGUGAGCCACGGCGCCCGGUGGCCGAGGUUAAUAAUAAUUAAAAGUUUCUAAUCCCAUUGUUCAGUUAUUUGAUUUGGUGUAAAGGCGCACUUUCCAAGUCAGAUGAGUUUGUGGUAACAUGCAUUCCCCAAAUAAUUAUUUUUCCCUUGUGGGAAAUAUUCCAGUUUUAGGCUGCCAGCUGUUUAAACAGUUUGGUUCAAAUCCUUCAAAAAAAUCUCAAAACAUAACUCCACAUAUGUAUUUACUACAUAUUGAAGGGUAUAUUCACUUGGAGAAGUAGGAGAAAGCAAACAGAUGCCAAUGGCCUUUUUGAAAACAUGUAUCUAUCAGCAAUAAUUGAAUAGCAAAACGAAGUGGAACACUACCAUCCUUUGCAAUAUUAGACAGUUUUAAUACUGGGUUGUGAGGAAUGAAAAGAUCAUACAAAUCGUCAUUUCUGAAGUCAUUUCUGAAGUCGUCAUUUCUGAACUGAGUGCUAAUUUUUCAUAUUAAGCUUUAUGUUAAUAUCCUUAAUGAGAGGAACUUCCUGUGCCCGUAAUUUCUCCAGAGAAACUAUUAACAUACACAGAAUGUUGUAAUCAGAAGUAUAGUUCAG